AAAUCAACCGAGAUUCCCCCAGUAGCGGCGAGCGAACGGGGAGCAGCCCAGAGUCUGAAUCAGCUUGUGUGUUAGUGGAACGGUCUGGAAAGUCCGACGGUACAGGGUGAUAGUCCCGUACACCAAAAUGCACAGGCUGUGAACUCGAAGAGUAGGGCGGGACACGUGGUAUCCUGUCUGAAUAUGGGGGGACCAUCCUCCAAGGCUAAAUACUCCUGACUGACCGAUAGUGAACCAGUACCGUGAGGGAAAGGCGAAAAGAACCCCGGCGAGGGGAGUGAAAAAGAACCUGAAACCGUGUACGUACAAGCAGUGGGAGCACCUUCGGGUGUGACUGCGUACCUUUUGUAUAAUGGGUCAGCGACUUAUAUUCUGUAGCAAGGUUAACCGUAUAGGGGAGCCGCAGGGAAACCGAGUCUUAACUGGGCGUUAAGUUGCAGGGUAUAGACCCGAAACCCGGUGAUCUAGCCAUGGGCAGGUUGAAGGUUGGGUAACACUAACUGGAGGACCGAACCGACUAAUGUUGAAAAAUUAGCGGAUGACUUGUGGCUGGGGGUGAAAGGCCAAUCAAACCGGGAGAUAGCUGGUUCUCCCCGAAAGCUAUUUAGGUAGCGCCUCGUGAA
RNAcentral lists this ribosomal RNA (623 nucleotides) under Klebsiella pneumoniae. Its description in RNAcentral is "partial 23S ribosomal RNA". It matches the Rfam family "Bacterial large subunit ribosomal RNA", at positions 222 to 888 of the family's 2925-position model. The record is from RNAcentral. Lineage: Bacteria; Pseudomonadati; Pseudomonadota; Gammaproteobacteria; Enterobacterales; Enterobacteriaceae.